CGGUUGUGUGCUUCAGAAACUACAGAACAGGAAACCCCCCUCCUACAGCUCUCACCUCUUGCUUCCUGUUUAACUACAUGGGUGAGGGGAGAGAAGCAUCUUAGGAACCAAUAACUGUGUUGCAAAAGAGAAAUGUAAACAACAGCUGCCACGCUGGAAAUUAAAGGUCCUGAACUCGGUCAAUUCAGAUUGCAAUGCAGCUUCCACGCAGCGCUCGUUUUUCAGAAGCAAUGGUAGCGAAAACAGUAACCCAUGGAAAAAAGAACGGGUGGAGGAGAGGAAAGACUGGAUUGCUGAAAGGAAACAUGUCCGGUGAAGCAAAUUUCCUGAUUGUCAAGAAAGACUGCAAUACCAUACCAUAUUGAAUCACUGUGGGGAGCUGUUAGGCAAAUAACGGGACCUUCCGAGUAAAGUCUCAUCUGUGGGGUAUGCUGGCGUUACUUUAUUCUCUGUCCGUGGGUAGGUAUUCUUUUUCUUUCCUUCCCAAGUUACCUUCCAGACCCAACUCAGGAAACAAAC
This 519-nucleotide long non-coding RNA is filed under the name Gopherus evgoodei (Goodes thornscrub tortoise). RNAcentral's name for it is "lncRNA (ENSGEVG00005003977.1)". Lineage: Eukaryota; Metazoa; Chordata; Testudines; Testudinidae. The record is from RNAcentral.